Molecule: long non-coding RNA, 853 nt
Filed under: Phasianus colchicus (ring-necked pheasant)
Lineage: Eukaryota; Metazoa; Chordata; Aves; Galliformes; Phasianidae
Description: lncRNA (ENSPCLG00000017660.1)
Source: RNAcentral
AGAGCUAUGGGGCACGGAUCUAUGGGGCAGAAAUCAAUGGGGUAUCCAUGGGGUGAAUCUAUGGGGCAGCAUCUAUGGGGCAGGGAGAGCUAUGGGGCAGCAUCUAUGGGGCAGCACGGAUCUAUGGGGCAGCACGGAUCUAUGGGGCAGGGAAAGCUGUGGGGCAGAGCUGGGGGGCAGCACGGAUCUAUGGGGCAGAGCUAUGGGGCAGAAAUCUAUGGGGCAGCACGGAGCUAUGGAGCAGGGUUGUGGGUCCAGCUGUAGCUAUAGGGGAGGGAGAGCUAUGGGGCACGGAUCUAUGGGGCAGGAGACCGAAAUCUAUGGGGCAGGAGACCGAAAUCUAUGGGGUCGAUUACAUCUAUGGGGCUGGAGGCUGAAAUCUAUGGGGCAGGAGAGCAAAAUCUAUGGGGCCAAAAUCUAUGGGGCAAGAGACCAAAAUCUAUGGGGCAGGAGACUGAAAUCUAUGGGUCUGAAGGUCUCUAUGGGUCUGAAGGUCUCUAUGGGGCCAAAAUCUAUGGGGCAGGAGAGAGAAAUCUAUGGGUCAGAAGUUCUUGAUGGAGCCAAAAUCUAUGGGGCAGGAGACCAAAAUCUAUGGGUCUGAAGGUCUCUAUGGGGUCAAAAUCUAUGGGGCAGGAGGCCUCUAUGGGGCAGGAGACUGAAAUCUAUGGGGCAGGAGAGAGAAAUCUAUGGGUCCGAAGGUCCCUAUGGGGCCAAAAUCUAUGGGGCAGGAGGCCUCUAUGGGGCAGGAGACUGAAAUCUAUGGGGCAGGAGAGGGAAAUCUAUGAGUCAGAAGGUCUCUAUGGGGCCAAAAUCUAUGGGGCAGGAGGUCUCGAUGGAGCCAAAAUCUAUGGGG